GUCUACUGCCAUACCAUCCUGAACGCUUCCAAUCUCAUCUGAUCUUGGAAGAUAAGCAGGGUCGGACCUGGUUAGUACUUGGAUGGGAGACCACCUGUGAAUACUGGGUGUUGUAGGCU
This is a ribosomal RNA of Colobus angolensis palliatus, 119 nucleotides long. The record is from Ensembl. NCBI's taxonomy places the organism in Eukaryota, Metazoa, Chordata, Mammalia, Primates, Cercopithecidae.